RNAcentral lists this ribosomal RNA (531 nucleotides) under uncultured bacterium. Its description in RNAcentral is "bacterial SSU rRNA". It matches the Rfam family "Bacterial small subunit ribosomal RNA", at positions 777 to 1308 of the family's 1533-position model. The record is from RNAcentral.
AAUAGAUACCCAGGUAGUCCACGCCGUAAACGAUGUCGACUUGGAGGUUGUUCCCUUGAGGAGUGGCUUCCGGAGCUAACGCGUUAAGUCGACCGCCUGGGGAGUACGGCCGCAAGGUUAAAACUCAAAUGAAUUGACGGGGGCCCGCACAAGCGGUGGAGCAUGUGGUUUAAUUCGAUGCAACGCGAAGAACCUUACCUACUCUUGACAUCCAGAGAACUUAGCAGAGAUGCUUUGGUGCCUUCGGGAACUCUGAGACAGGUGCUGCAUGGCUGUCGUCAGCUCGUGUUGUGAAAUGUUGGGUUAAGUCCCGCAACGAGCGCAACCCUUAUCCUUUGUUGCCAGCGGUCCGGCCGGGAACUCAAAGGAGACUGCCAGUGAUAAACUGGAGGAAGGUGGGGAUGACGUCAAGUCAUCAUGGCCCUUACGAGUAGGGCUACACACGUGCUACAAUGGCGUAUACAAAGAGAAGCGACCUCGCGAGAGCAAGCGGACCUCAUAAAGUACGUCGUAGUCCGGAUUGGAGUCUGC